GAUGAACGCUGGCGGCGUGCCUAACACAUGCAAGUCGAGCGAGAUAAAUGUGAGUGGAGACUUCGGUCAAAGCAAUCAUUUUGAAAGCGGCGGACGGGUGAGUAACGCGUGAGCAAUCUGCCCCAUACAAAGGGAUACCCACUGGAAACGGUGAUUAAUACCUUAUAAGACCACGAAGUCGCCUGGCUUAGUGGCCAAAGAUUUAUCGGUAUGGGAUGAGCUCGCGUCUGAUUAGCUAGUUGGUGAGGUAAUGGCUCACCAAGGCGACGAUCAGUAGCCGACCUGAGGGGGUGGACGGCCACACUGGAACUGAGACACGGUCCAGACUCCUACGGGAGGCAGCAGUGGGGAAUAUUGCACAAUGGGCGCAAGCCUGAUGCAGCAACGCCGCGUGAAUGAUGAAGGCCUUCGGGUCGUAAAGUUCUGUCCUAAGGGAAGAAUACAGUGACGGUACCUUAGGAGGAAGCCCCGGCUAACUACGUGCCAGCCGCCGCAGUAA
Molecule: ribosomal RNA, 499 nt
Filed under: uncultured bacterium
Lineage: Bacteria
Description: partial 16S ribosomal RNA
Rfam family: Bacterial small subunit ribosomal RNA
Source: RNAcentral